UACCUACGGGGGGCAGCAGUGGGGGAUAUUGGACAAUGGGGGAAACCCUGAUCCAGCGACGCCGCGUGAGUGAAGAAGUAUUUCGGUAUGUAAAGCUCUGUCAGCAGGGAAGAAAGAAAUGACGGUACCUGACCAAGAAGCCCCGGCUAACUACGUGCCAGCAGCCGCGGUAAUACGUAGGGGGCAAGCGUUAUCCGGAAUUACUGGGCGUAAAGGAUGCGUAGGCGGUUAAACAAGUUAUAUGUUAAAUAUAUAGGCUUAACCUGUAGAAAGCAUAUAAAACUGUUUAACUAGAGUGCAGGAGA
This 305-nucleotide ribosomal RNA is filed under the name uncultured bacterium. RNAcentral's name for it is "bacterial SSU rRNA". It matches the Rfam family "Bacterial small subunit ribosomal RNA", at positions 335 to 655 of the family's 1533-position model. The record is from RNAcentral.